RNAcentral lists this small RNA (104 nucleotides) under Arabidopsis thaliana (thale cress). RNAcentral's name for it is "ATSL189210". Lineage: Eukaryota; Viridiplantae; Streptophyta; Magnoliopsida; Brassicales; Brassicaceae. The record is from RNAcentral.
AAAAAACCCUGUCUUUUCUUCUUCAUAGUUGCAGCCUCUUUAUCGCUUCUCGUAUUUUUCGUACGAGAGCCUCCUGCAACAGAGCCCUGUAGAGAAAGCGCUAU